UCUGAAACGUCAGCCGUCUCGAUACGGCAGC
This 31-nucleotide small RNA is filed under the name Bombyx mori (domestic silkworm). Its description in RNAcentral is "ovarian small RNA-29896". Lineage: Eukaryota; Metazoa; Arthropoda; Insecta; Lepidoptera; Bombycidae. The record is from RNAcentral.